Molecule: long non-coding RNA, 1206 nt
Organism: Junco hyemalis (dark-eyed junco)
Lineage: Eukaryota; Metazoa; Chordata; Aves; Passeriformes; Passerellidae
Source: Ensembl
GCGUUUAUCAGGAGCUGCUUUUCCACUUGGGAUACCCAUGCAGCUGUUACGCUGCUCUCUGCUGGGUGAAAAGAUAAAUCCUCCAGCCAGAGAAGGCAAAUCACCAGCUUAUUUGUUUAUUUCCAGUAUCAUCUUCUGGAGGCUGAAGGCGUAGCAGGGGAGCAGCCGUGCGGGCUGCUUGCUGAGCAGACUGCUUGUGAUGCUGCCCGCGUCGCUGGCACGGGGCCAGCCGGGCUUUGGCCCUUGGCACUGGGGCUGCAGGAUGGAUGGGAUGCCAUGUGCUCUCCGCACUCCCAGCCCGGGGAGCUGGCUCGGAGCAGGCUGGGGCACGCUCCCAGGCACGCGCUCGCCUUCCAUGGAUCCAGCAGGCUGCCUGCUCCCGUCUGUCUGUCAGAGCUCCUGGGCCUCGCCGGGCAGCCCCUGCCAGGACGGCAUGAAUGAAACUCUGGUCAAAUCCUGAUUAUCCUGAGCACCUGUGUUAUUCUGGGGUCCUAGAACCGGCUCCUGUCAUUUUCACUGCCGCAAGGGAGGGAGUGGGCACUUCAUUUGCAGUCCAACUGCAGAGCCUUGGCAGUCUUCCAGAGCUGAGAUUGUGCCCAUGUGGGUUUUCUGUGCUUGAUUAAAUCACAAUAUUUCCUCUGGCUCUGAAGCCAGAAAGCACCAUUAGCUCUUCAAGACUGGCCACCUGCAUAGUCCAGAUCAGGGACUCCCUUCCAAUGGCUUCUGCUUUGUGCCUGAAAGCUUCUGGUGGAGCUGUGAUUUCCUUGUCAGAAGACGUCUCAUCUUUGUAGAGAUGUUACUUGUGAUGGCAAACACCUGUGCUGUGGUAGUCUUUCCAGGUGUUUAAGCACCCCUUACUGUUAAGAAUCUGCUUCCCCAGCGUGCUUGAUGAGUCUUGUUUGGCAUUGCUUCUCUUUUGUGGUCUUUGAUUGCCUGUGGGCACUUUGUUAUGACACCUAGCACCUCUCUUCUUCACAGAGUUUGGAUCCUUCCUAGUCCCCAUGGAUGUAGAUGUUUGAUUGGUGAUUUGCCCUGAGCUCACCAUUCUGCCCACAUCUCACUACAGAUAUUUAGAAAAGAAAGUAAUCCUCAGUGGGUAGCAAGACAUGUCUGUAUUAAUUUCAUAAGAAUGUUUUUCUAGUUCAAAGUAUUCAAAGUAAUAAUAUGGAUGUUUCAAGGCUCAAAAUAAAUGUUUUCAUGGCACAA